GAUUAUGGCUCAGGAUGAACGCUGGCGGCAUGCCUAAUACAUGCAAGUCGAACGAGUAGACCCUCGGGUUUGCUAGUGGCGAACGGGUGAGUAACACGUAGAUAACCAACCCUUAUGACGAGGAUAACCCGGGGAAACCUGGACUAAUACUGGAUAGGAGCUAAUUUCACAAGAGGUUAGUUUUAAAGGCGCCUCAAAGCGCCGCAAGAGGAUGGGACUACGUCGCAUUAGCUAGUUGGUGGGGUAACGGCCUACCAAGGCAACGAUGCGUAGCCGGCCUGAGAGGGUGAACGGCCACAUUGGGACUGAGACACGGCCCAAACUCCUACGGGAGGCAGCAGUGGGGAAUAUUGGACAAUGGGGGAAACCCUUGAUCCAGCGACGCCGCGUGAGUGAAGAAGUAUUUCGGUAUGUAAAGCUCUAUCAGCAGGGAAGAAAAUGACGGUACCUGACUAAGAAGCCCCGGCUAACUACGUGCCAGCCGCCGC
Molecule: ribosomal RNA, 488 nt
Filed under: uncultured bacterium
Lineage: Bacteria
Description: bacterial SSU rRNA
Rfam family: Bacterial small subunit ribosomal RNA
Source: RNAcentral